Long non-coding RNA from Epinephelus fuscoguttatus (brown-marbled grouper), 282 nucleotides. RefSeq lists it as uncharacterized. The record is from RefSeq and is a predicted model, not a curated record. NCBI's taxonomy places the organism in Eukaryota, Metazoa, Chordata, Actinopteri, Perciformes, Serranidae. The transcript has 3 exons.
GUAAUGGUGGAGCUAAACUAUAUGUGUUAGCUUCUAAAUUAAAACUCUGGGUACCAAAAACAAAAAGAAACACAGAAAGAGAAAAGAAGAGUUACAGUAUACCACCCAAUUCUUCACAGAGAAAGGUCGAAAUACAGAUGCAGCUUCAUCCUCAGCAGCCCUGUGUCCACAUACCUCCCACUAUCAAUGACCCAGCCCUGCGCCCAACUGAGGAAGGAGGAUUCUUCAUUCACCAUGGAGGCAUGCAAGAAAAAUUUACACGUGCAAGUUUUCUUCAUGAAU